This 491-nucleotide small RNA is filed under the name Pan troglodytes (chimpanzee). RNAcentral's name for it is "retained intron". Lineage: Eukaryota; Metazoa; Chordata; Mammalia; Primates; Hominidae. The record is from RNAcentral.
UAACAAAAAGGAACAAUAAACUUGUCUUUCAGGUAUGUUAAUGCCAAAGGAUAUUUUGAAGAUGUGGCAAAUGCAAUGGAAGAGGCAAAUGAAGAGAUUUUUAUCACAGACUGGUGGCUGAGUCCAGAAAUCUUCCUGAAACGCCCAGUGGUUGAGGGAAAUCGUUGGAGGUUGGACUGCAUUCUUAAACGAAAAGCACAACAAGGAGUGAGGAUCUUCAUAAUGCUCUACAAAGAGGUGGAACUCGCUCUUGGCAUCAAUAGUGAAUACACCAAGAGGACUUUGAUGCGUCUACAUCCCAACAUAAAGGUGAUGAGACACCCGGAUCAUGUGUCAUCCACCGUCUAUUUGUGGGCUCACCAUGAGAAGCUUGUCAUCAUUGACCAAUCGGUGGCCUUUGUGGGAGGGAUUGACCUGGCCUAUGGAAGGUGGGACGACAAUGAGCACAGACUCACAGACGUGGGCAGUGUGAAGCGGGUCACUUCAGGACC